GCCAGAAAGACAGUUAAAAGAAGAGAAGGUUAAAAACAAAACAAAACAAAAAACACACAAGGGUUUCCUCUCACAGUUUUCAGCAUGAGAAAGCCUGAACCAUCCAAACUGUCAUCAUCAAAUGUGUCUUGUUGUUAGGGCCUGUGGAGUUGUGCUGUUGGUGCCCUGCCUUUUGUUCUGGGACCAUCAAUUAAAGGAGGAAAUUGGGAGGAAUCAAGGUGAUAGAAGAUCCAGAAAAUAAGAUCAGUGAGAACACUGAGGUCAUGUUGUUAUAUUUGCAUUUGCCUAAAACUUAUACCUUUUAAAAAACAUUUUUAACCUCGUUUGUUACCUCUGCAUGGACAGUUUCUAUUUUCCAUUACAGUUUUCACAUUUUAUACACGUUUCUCGGCAAUACCAGUUAAGUGUCCCUAUUGUUAGUUGUACGUAACACCAGCCCUGAGGAGCAAAUAGUGUUCUACUACACAGCUAAGGAACAUAAAAUCACAAUAGAAACUGCCAAUGUUAGUUAUCACCUUCCUUAGAGUCACACUGAUCUUUGCAGUAAAGGGUAGACAGGCAUCUUAAUAUAGAGGAGGAUGCUAGGCUUCAGGCCCAAGCUCCAGCACUCUGCAUCAGGGAAUGCAUGGCCAUGCAACCUGGGUAGUUUGAGAAGACUUUAACUGAGC
RNAcentral lists this long non-coding RNA (668 nucleotides) under Marmota monax (woodchuck). The record is from RNAcentral. Lineage: Eukaryota; Metazoa; Chordata; Mammalia; Rodentia; Sciuridae.